CCUACGGGAGGCAGCAGUGGGGAAUUUUGGACAAUGGGCGCAAGCCUGAUCCAGCAAUGCCGCGUGAGUGAAGAAGGCCUUCGGGUUGUAAAGCUCUUUUGUCAGGGAAGAAACGGUCUCAGCUAAUAUCUGGGGCUAAUGACGGUACCUGAAGAAUAAGCACCGGCUAACUACGUGCCAGCAGCCGCGGUAAUACGUAGGGUGCAAGCGUUAAUCGGAAUUACUGGGCGUAAAGCGUGCGCAGGCGGUUUUGUAAGUCUGUCGUGAAAGCCCCGGGCUCAACCUGGGAAUUGCGAUGGAGACUGCAAGGCUUGAAUCUGGCAGAGGGGGGUAGAAUUCCACGUGUAGCAGUGAAAUGCGUAGAGAUGUGGAGGAACACCGAUGGCGAAGGCAGCCCCCUGGGUCAAGAUUGACGCUCAUGCACGAAAGCGUGGGGAGCAAACAGGAUUAGAUACCCUGGUAGUCCACGCCCUAAACGAUGUCUACUAGUUGUCGGUUUAAUACUUGGUAACGCAGCUAACGCGUGAAGUAGACCGCGUGGGGAGUACGGUCGCAAGAUUUAAAACNCGAAAGUAGAAGUUAGACGCGUGAGACGUAGACGACGGACGACGACGAGGGAGGAGG
RNAcentral lists this ribosomal RNA (624 nucleotides) under uncultured bacterium. Its description in RNAcentral is "bacterial SSU rRNA". It matches the Rfam family "Bacterial small subunit ribosomal RNA", at positions 338 to 1533 of the family's 1533-position model. The record is from RNAcentral.